AGUGAACGCUGGCGGUAGGCCUAACACAUGCAAGUCGAACGGCAGCACAGUAAGAGCUUGCUCUUACGGGUGGCGAGUGGCGGACGGGUGAGGAAUACAUCGGAAUCUUCUUUUUCGUGGGGGAUAACGUAGGGAAACUUACGCUAAUACCGCAUACGACCUACGGGUGAAAGCAGUGGAUCUUCGCACCUUGCGCGAUUGAAUGAGCCGAUGUCGGAUUAGCUAGUUGGCUGGGUAAAGGCCCACCAAGGCGACGAUCCGUAGCUGGUCUGAGAGGAUGAUCAGCCACACUGGAACUGAGACACGGUCCAGACUCCUACGGGAGGCAGCAGUGGGGAAUAUUGGGCAAUGGGCGCAAGCCUGAUCCAGCCAUACCGCGUGGGUGAAGAAGUCCUUCGGGUUGUAAAGCCCUUUUGUUGGGAAAGAAAAGCAGCAGGUUAAUACCCCGCUGUUCUGACGGUACCCAAAGAAUAAGCACCGGCUAACUUCGUG
Molecule: ribosomal RNA, 492 nt
Filed under: uncultured bacterium
Lineage: Bacteria
Description: partial 16S ribosomal RNA
Rfam family: Bacterial small subunit ribosomal RNA
Source: RNAcentral